GACCUUCUCUCUUUCUCACUUCUCAUCACUAAACAUGGAUUUAUGGAAGGAGGGCAACAAUCUCUGCUUUCUAUCUCCUACUUUCAUUGAAUGGCUCAAGCCAUCUUCCUCCUCCUCUUCCUCUUCCUCUUCACUUACCUCAUCAUCAUCAUCUUCUUCUUCCGUGACUCAACAAAUUCAGCUCACAAACCCUAUGAGCAUACUAAAACUUCCUCUCUUGUACCCGCAAGAACAACUGCCUCAUCAACAGCAAGAAUUUGUGAAAGAAACCGUCGAGUGCUUGCCUCUUCUAAGCAGACUCUCAGAGGAUAGUAAAACAUUGAAAGAGGAGGGUAUGAGGGUGCAAGAAACUAGUACUGUUGGAGUUAAAGAAGAGAAUAUUACAGUGGCCUUGCACAUUGGACUGCCUAAUAGUGGUGGAGAUUCUCAAGUCGAGACAAAAGUUUUUGACUUUAAUAAGGAAGAAGAGCAACAUGCCAUCAAGAAAAGCGUCCAUGGACACUGCCCCUUCAACACAGAGAAUAGGUUUUGGAUCCCAACUCCAGCUCAGAUCCUUAUAGGGCCUAUGCAGUUUGAGUGCUCCAUAUGCAGCAAAACCUUCAAUAGGU
RNAcentral lists this unclassified non-coding RNA (608 nucleotides) under Hevea brasiliensis (rubber tree). The record is from RNAcentral. Lineage: Eukaryota; Viridiplantae; Streptophyta; Magnoliopsida; Malpighiales; Euphorbiaceae.